GGGAAUAUUGGACAAUGGGCGCAAGCCUGAUCCAGCAAUGCCGCGUGUGUGAGGAAGGUCUUCGGAUUGUAAAGCACUUUCGGCGGGGACGAUGAUGACGGUACCCGCAGAAGAAGCCCCGGCUAACUUCGUGCCAGCAGCCGCGGUAAUACGAAGGGGGCGAGCGUUGCUCGGAAUGACUGGGCGUAAAGGGCGCGUAGGCGGAUGACGCAGUCAGAUGUGAAAUUCCUGGGCUUAACCUGGGGGCUGCAUUUGAGACGCGUUGUCUAGAGUGUGAAAGAUGGUCGUGGAAUUCCCAGUGUAGAGGUGAAAUUCGUAGAUAUUGGGAAGAACACCGGUGGCGAAGGCGGCGACCUGGUUCAUGACUGACGCUGAGGCGCGAAAGCGUGGGGAGCAAAC
Molecule: ribosomal RNA, 399 nt
Filed under: uncultured bacterium
Lineage: Bacteria
Description: bacterial SSU rRNA
Rfam family: Bacterial small subunit ribosomal RNA
Source: RNAcentral